This is a non-coding RNA of Pelobates cultripes (western spadefoot toad), 70 nucleotides long. The record is from the annotation of a GenBank genome assembly. Lineage: Eukaryota; Metazoa; Chordata; Amphibia; Anura; Pelobatidae.
AGUGUCUUAUGAUGACCAGUUCAUGCACCACACAGAAUGUUAUGUGUUGAUUAUGAACUUCUGAAGACUG